AGCGGUGUAGUUCAGUGGUUAGAACGUUGGGAUCAUACCCCAUAUGUCGGGGGUUCGAAUCCCUUUUCCGUUA
Molecule: transfer RNA, 73 nt
Filed under: Dictyopteris divaricata
Lineage: Eukaryota; Phaeophyceae; Dictyotales; Dictyotaceae
Description: tRNA-Met
Rfam family: tRNA
About the family: Transfer RNA (tRNA) molecules are approximately 80 nucleotides in length. Their secondary structure includes four short double-helical elements and three loops (D, anti-codon, and T loops).
Source: RNAcentral